RNAcentral lists this non-coding RNA (30 nucleotides) under Rattus norvegicus (Norway rat). The record is from RNAcentral. Lineage: Eukaryota; Metazoa; Chordata; Mammalia; Rodentia; Muridae.
UAGGCUUUUUAUUGAGUUGUCUUCCCAGGA